CGCGUAGGUGGCGUGGUAAGCGUGCGGUGAAAGCCCGGGGCUCAACUCCGGGUCGGCCGUGCGAACUGCCAUGCUUGAGCACGGUAGAGGCCAAUGGAAUUCCGGGUGUAGCGGUGGAAUGCGUAGAGAUCCGGAAGAACACCGGUGGCGAAGGCGGUUGGCUGGGCCGUUGCUGACACUGAGGCGCGACAGCGUGGGGAGCAAACAGGAUUAGAUACCCUGGUAGUCCACGCCGUAAACGAUGGGCACUAGGUGCUUGGGGGAGCGACCCCUUGAGUGCCGGCGCUAACGCAUGAAGUGCCCCGCCUGGGGAGUACGGCCGCAAGGCUGAA
Molecule: ribosomal RNA, 332 nt
Filed under: uncultured Gemmatimonas sp.
Lineage: Bacteria; Pseudomonadati; Gemmatimonadota; Gemmatimonadia; Gemmatimonadales; Gemmatimonadaceae
Description: bacterial SSU rRNA
Rfam family: Bacterial small subunit ribosomal RNA
Source: RNAcentral